RNAcentral lists this microRNA (19 nucleotides) under Pteropus alecto (black flying fox). RNAcentral's name for it is "pal-miR-503-3p". Its record names the gene pal-miR-503-3p. The record is from miRBase by way of RNAcentral. Lineage: Eukaryota; Metazoa; Chordata; Mammalia; Chiroptera; Pteropodidae.
UAUUGUUUCUGCUGCCCGG